GACUGAGGUCAGGGAGGGCAGUUUGGGGUGGGAAAAGGGAUUUCCAGGAGUGGGAAAACCCAGAUCCCAGGGCACCGACAGCUCCGGGGUGUUCAUCCCUAUCACCAUCAUCCUCAUCCCCACCUGGGAAUCCACAUUUCAGAGCCUUUUCUCCUCCAAAUCCACCUUAUUCCCUCCAAACCCAUUUUCCUCCCUAUAAUUCCGUAUUUUUCCCUACGGUCCCGCUCUUUACCCUCCAAUUUCACUUUUUCCCCCUUCCAACCCCACUUUUCCCUACAAUUCCCCUUUUCCCCACGGUCGCGGUGCCGAUCCCGAUUCCCAAGGCAGAUUCCCUGUCCCUGUCGCUGUCGCUGUCGCCAGCCCGGUGCCGCCGCCCCUCCCCUCCCGUCCGUCUGUCCCGCGGUAAUCCCGGGAUUAGCGGCGCUCGUUCUGCACCGUCAGGAUUCUCCUGCCCGGAGCCGCCGGGGCCGGGCCCUGCCCCGAUCCCCGGGAUCGCCCCGGGAUCCUCUCGGGAUCCUCUCGGGAGCGGCACCGGCGCCGGCUGUCCUGAGCCGCCAUGGCCACCAAGGUGCCGAUCUACCUGAAGAGGGGCAGCCGCAAGGGCAAGAAGGAGAAGCUGCGGGACAUCCUUUCCUCGGACAUGAUCAGCCCUCCGCUGGGCGACUUCCGCCACACCAUCCACGUGGGCAGCGGCGGCGAGGGCGACACGUUCGGGGACAUCUCCUUCCUGCAGGGCAAGUUCCACCUGCUGCCCCGCGGCGCCGACGGGGACCGCGCUGCCGCCG
Molecule: long non-coding RNA, 785 nt
Filed under: Serinus canaria (Common canary)
Lineage: Eukaryota; Metazoa; Chordata; Aves; Passeriformes; Fringillidae
Description: lncRNA (ENSSCAG00000006034.1)
Source: RNAcentral